UUACAGCCAUAUCAUGAUGAAACACUGAUUCCCAUACAAUCACCGAAGUUAAGCAACAUUGAGCCUGGUCAGUAUCUAGAUAAGUGGCUACUUGGGAAUACCAACUGCUGUAAG
Molecule: non-coding RNA, 114 nt
Organism: Acanthosepion pharaonis
Lineage: Eukaryota; Metazoa; Mollusca; Cephalopoda; Sepiida; Sepiidae
Source: the annotation of a GenBank genome assembly